Non-coding RNA from Acanthosepion pharaonis, 111 nucleotides. The record is from the annotation of a GenBank genome assembly. NCBI's taxonomy places the organism in Eukaryota, Metazoa, Mollusca, Cephalopoda, Sepiida, Sepiidae.
CUGCCAUAUCAUGUUGAAACAUUGGUUCUUGUAUGUUCACCGAAGUUAAGCAACAUUGAGCCUGGUUAGUACCUAGAUAGGUGACCACUUGGGAAUACCAGUUGCUGUAAG